Molecule: ribosomal RNA, 551 nt
Filed under: uncultured Actinomycetes bacterium
Lineage: Bacteria; Bacillati; Actinomycetota; Actinomycetes
Description: bacterial SSU rRNA
Rfam family: Bacterial small subunit ribosomal RNA
Source: RNAcentral
GGGGUGAUGGCCUACCAAGCGACGACGGGUAGCCGGCCUGAGAGGUGAUCGGCCACAUUGGGACUGAGAUACGGCCCAGACUCCUACGGGAGGCAGCAGUGGGGAAUAUUGCACAAUGGGCGGAAGCCUGAUGCAGCGACGCCGCGUGAGGGAUGACGGCCUUCGGGUUGUAAACCUCUUUCAGCAGGGACGAAGCGUAAGUGACGGUACCUGCAGAAGAAGCACCGGCUAACUAUGUGCCAGCAGCCGCGGUAAUACGUAGGGUGCGAGCGUUGUCCGGAAUUACUGGGCGUAAAGAGCUCGUAGGCGGUUUGUCACGUCGUCUGUGAAAUCCUAGGGCUUAACCCUGGACGUGCAGGCGAUACGGGCUGACUUGAGUACUACAGGGGAGACUGGAAUUUCUGGUGUAGCGGUGGAAUGCACAGAUAUCAGGAAGAACACCGAUGGCGAAGGCAGGUCUCUGGGUAGUAACUGACGCUGAGGAGCGAAAGCAUGGGUAGCGAACAGGAUUAGAUACCCUGGUAGUCCACGCCGUAAACGGUGGGCACUAG